UCAAAUUGCUUAUUUCU
RNAcentral lists this microRNA (17 nucleotides) under Corchorus olitorius. Its description in RNAcentral is "hsa-miR-12". The record is from RNAcentral. Lineage: Eukaryota; Viridiplantae; Streptophyta; Magnoliopsida; Malvales; Malvaceae.